CACAUUAGGAACACGCACGUGCACACCUGGUUUUAUUUCGUUCGCGUGUAGCAGACAGCGGGUGUGCCUCUGGUGCGUCCUGCGCCUCAGCCCGGAUCUUCUUGUGUGUGCGUGUGCGCAAGGGCAACAAGAGGAAAGGACGACGUUAAACCGGAAGUAGCGGUCAAGGCGGAUCAUCAUUAUUAGCAGCACAGCGACGCACUCAACCACCGAGGAGAUACAGGGCGCCGCUACACCAUCAUCGUUUUAUGUCUAGAAACAACGCUGCGCAGCAACCGCGGCGUUGUCGACUGAGAGUACUGAAAGCAACAGGUGGGCCUGCGCCUCUCCUCCCGUCCCCCGACUGCUGCUUCCUCCCGUGAAGUGCAGGAAGAAAGGAAGGCGCUAGUGUCUGUUCGUGCAGCGCAGCCUCAAUCGAUCGGGAAAGUAGUGUAGAAUGACGACAGCAGCGGAACUCGGCACCGGAGGUGUAGACGUGACCGGAAAGCCGAUCUUUGUGGCGACUGAGCACACCCGCUACGCCCCUAGCACCGAACGCGAGCUCUCCGACCAGGAGCAACUAGCGUGGAAGUCGUUUCAGCUCUGGCGCACGUCGCUUUCCAUUGAGCGUCGUGACCACGUGUACCGGACCAUCACGAACGCUGACUACACCAACUUUAAUCUCACACGCCAUAUUAUGGGCACACCAUUUCCGGUGAUCGAAAACACCCCUUCUAUCAUUAACACGGCCGCCGGCGUGCGCAUGUACGAGCACGGCAUCGCUGCUUUCCUAGGGUUCAGCUACAGCAUGUGGGUGCGCUCCAAGGCGUCGCUGCGCCACACCCGCUUGCACCCGUCCACCCGCUUCUUCGUUUCCUUUGGCACCUUCAUCUUCGCCGACAUGUGCUUCUGGUACCGUAGCAUGUUUCGUCUCUCCGGUUUCCUGCCGAACGACUACGAGUGUAGAAAGUUUGGCGUGAUGGAGUCGAAGGAGCGGCUGGAGCGGAAAAAAGAGUUGUGGGCCAAAUACACCGCGUACAAGCGGGAGUGGUGCCGCCGCUUCGACUACCAUGUCUACGGCAUCCGCCCAGGCGAGACGUUCAGCCUCUUCUCUGCUUGCUGGUUCCCGGCGUGGUCUACGCCGUACGGUACCAUCACCGACUACCCGCUGCGCAAGAACCCGUACUUCCUUAGCGCCACCCCGUUGCGGGACAUGUACGGCGAGUAUGCCUGUACGAUGGAGCUACCGAAAUCGGAGUACUCACCGCUGUCGAAGGCAAGGCCGGAGGUUAACUACACAUUCCGUGGCCCGCUUGUUGCUUCGGAGAGCAACAAGUCCUCCGCCACGUGAGGAUUAGCGCGCAAACAAAAAUGGGCAGCAUCCGCAUUGUACGCGAAAGAGAACGGGAGAGGAGAGCGCCACAAUAGAGAAGGAAAGCGCUGCCGCUCUCCUACAGCACGGCCCACGGAGAGGCACAUGGAGGAGGUGAACCGGUGGCGCCUUGCGUGUUUACAGUUGAGUGCGGACUUCUGAUGUCUUGGUGUCUGCUUGGCGGAUUGGGAGCGGGACAUUGCCCUUUGCCGUCUCUUUCUUAUCCGCUUUUCAUUUAUUCAUGCGUGCGUGUUGUGUAUUGCUUUUAGGUAGACGAGGAAGGCGACAUGACUGGUUGUGGGCCCCUUUAUCCGCUCGCCUCUCAUGAGCUCUCAAACCCGCGCCUGGACUGCGAGGUGCACAAGCUGCGUAUGGGUGUGCUUGUACGUACGUGUCUGUUGCGCUCUUUUCACUAGAGUAUUCAUGUGUGAUGUGUAGCUGAUUAGUUUUUUUUUUCUUUUUUUUUGACGUUUAGGUGGUGCAGUCGAAGAUCGACACGCACCUUAUGCUUGUGGGUAAGCGCUCCGCCAGUGCAGUGACCCACACCAGCUCUGUCCGCUGCGAGGACGCAUCGCUUCUCUGCAUACGGGUCUCCGAGAAG
Molecule: unclassified non-coding RNA, 1952 nt
Filed under: Leishmania donovani
Lineage: Eukaryota; Euglenozoa; Kinetoplastea; Trypanosomatida; Trypanosomatidae
Description: gene:LdHU3.28.0340(CDS-product:NADH-ubiquinone_ox idoreductase_complex_I_21_kDa_subunit_putative)
Source: RNAcentral